RNAcentral lists this unclassified non-coding RNA (212 nucleotides) under Hevea brasiliensis (rubber tree). The record is from RNAcentral. Lineage: Eukaryota; Viridiplantae; Streptophyta; Magnoliopsida; Malpighiales; Euphorbiaceae.
GGAGAGGAGAGCGCGCCCGCGGAGUGCCGUCCAGACCAGCGCGGCCCCGGCGCGAGAGGGGAGCGCCCCGAGCCCAGGCGGCGGCGGCUAGCCCGAGUCCGCGACCCCCGCCCCUCCGCCCGCCAUGGGCGCCGCGGCCCGCACCCUGCGGCUGGCGCUCGGCCUCCUGCUGCUGGCGACGCUGCUUCGCCCGGCCGACGCCUGCAGCUGCU